Molecule: ribosomal RNA, 407 nt
Filed under: uncultured bacterium
Lineage: Bacteria
Description: partial 16S ribosomal RNA
Rfam family: Bacterial small subunit ribosomal RNA
Source: RNAcentral
GACGAACGCUGGCGGCGUGCCUAAUACAUGCAAGUAGGACGCAGUUGCGCACGGGUGAGUAACGCGUAGGUCACUCCCUAUUAGGGGGGGAUAACUAUUUGCAACGAUAGCUACUACCGCAUACUAGUCGAUUGACAUGCGUUGUAUUGGCUAGUAGGUGGGGUAAUGGCCUACCUCGGCAACGAUACAGAGCCGCCCUGGGAGGGUGAGCGGCCACACGUGGAAUGAGACACGGCCCAGACUCCCACGGGAGGCAGCAGUAGGGAAUCGUCGGAAAGGGGGGGAACCCUGAGCGAGAAACGCCGCGUGAGUGAGGAAGGUCGUCGGAUCGGAAAGCUCUGUUGUUAAGGAAGCGGUACUUAAACAGAAAGGGACGGCUAACUACGUGCCAGCAGCCGCGGUAAUAC